RNAcentral lists this ribosomal RNA (530 nucleotides) under Escherichia coli. RNAcentral describes it as "partial 23S ribosomal RNA". It matches the Rfam family "Bacterial large subunit ribosomal RNA", at positions 1354 to 1869 of the family's 2925-position model. Lineage: Bacteria; Pseudomonadati; Pseudomonadota; Gammaproteobacteria; Enterobacterales; Enterobacteriaceae. The record is from RNAcentral.
CCUGUCCAACGUUAAUCGGGGCAGGGUGAGUCGACCCCUAAGGCGAGGCCGAAAGGCGUAGUCGAUGGGAAACAGGUUAAUAUUCCUGUACUUGGUGUUACUGCGAAGGGGGGACGGAGAAGGCUAUGUUGGCCGGGCGACGGUUGUCCCGGUUUAAGCGUGUAGGCUGGUUUUCCAGGCAAAUCCGGAAAAUCAAGGCUGAGGCGUGAUGACGAGGCACUACGGUGCUGAAGCAACAAAUGCCCUGCUUCCAGGAAAAGCCUCUAAGCAUCAGGUAACAUCAAAUCGUACCCCAAACCGACACAGGUGGUCAGGUAGAGAAUACCAAGGCGCUUGAGAGAACUCGGGUGAAGGAACUAGGCAAAAUGGUGCCGUAACUUCGGGAGAAGGCACGCUGAUAUGUAGGUGAAGUCCCUCGCGGAUGGAGCUGAAAUCAGUCGAAGAUACCAGCUGGCUGCAACUGUUUAUUAAAAACACAGCACUGUGCAAACACGAAAGUGGACGUAUACGGUGUGACGCCUGCCCGGUGC